This is a long non-coding RNA of Sorghum bicolor (sorghum), 275 nucleotides long. RefSeq lists it as uncharacterized. Lineage: Eukaryota; Viridiplantae; Streptophyta; Magnoliopsida; Poales; Poaceae. The transcript has 3 exons. The record is from RefSeq and is a predicted model, not a curated record.
CUUCAUACAUCAGGCAGUGUGAGCUAUGCUUCUGCUGCACAUAAACUGGGUCAGCAACUUGGGCGUCCUCCUCGAAGAGAUGAAGUCUAUAUAAAAACACAUACAAGAAAAAAUAGAGAGCCUUUAAGGCCAGCAACAUCAGUAAUUGAUUCCCUAAAAGAAGUUGUUGAAAUCUAUCCGGAGUUGAAGGACAAGGCAAUUCAGCAAGGUGAUGCUUUUGCUGUUGUUUGUGGAGAAAAGGAGCCAAGGGGUAGAGUCCGUUGUUUGGGUCUAGG